Molecule: ribosomal RNA, 253 nt
Filed under: uncultured bacterium
Lineage: Bacteria
Description: partial 16S ribosomal RNA
Rfam family: Bacterial small subunit ribosomal RNA
Source: RNAcentral
UACGGGGGGAGCAAGCGUUACUCGGAAUCAUUGGGCGUAAAGGGCGCGUAGGCGAUUCUACAAGUCUUAUGUGAAAGCCCACAGCCUAACUGUGGAAGUGCAUACGAUACUGUAGAAUUUGAGUUCAGGAGAGGAAAGCAGAAUUCCCGGUGUAGCGGUGAAAUGCGUAGAUAUCGGGAGGAAUACCAGCGGCGAGGGCGGCUUUCUGGACUGACACUGACGCUGAGGCGCGAAAGCCAGGGGAGCGAACGGG